This is a long non-coding RNA of Bos taurus (domestic cattle), 1137 nucleotides long. Lineage: Eukaryota; Metazoa; Chordata; Mammalia; Artiodactyla; Bovidae. The record is from Ensembl.
GCUACACUUGAUACUUCCAAGGCUGAUUUCCUCCAAGCUCCCCUUUCUUCACCUCCUUUGCCCUAGGCUUUCAUAAAGCCAGACAGAGAAAAAGGAAUUUCACUUCCCAAAUGCUAGAACUGCUGGUGCAGAACGUAACUAAAUAUCAGCAGCUGUGCCAGGGCACCUGGGGCCAUAUAAGGAGACUGACAAAAGACUUAGUUAUGAACAAGAUCCCAGUUCUCUGCUCAUCAUGGCUUCAUGUGCUUCAAGAAGGGCAGGAAGAAUCGGAGAUUUGCAGCUACGCUCUUUUUUAAAAAUGUGUAUGAGAGACAUUCUUAGGAAAAAGGAUAAAACAGAUAUUCCUAAAGCAACAAAGUGGGACAGACGUAAUGUCAAUGUUUCUCCUGACUACUGCUUCCAACUUUAAUGCGUAAAUAUUCUAUCACCUGGGGAUUGUGUAAGAUACAGAUUGUGAACCAGUAGGUCAGGGGUAGGGCCUCAGAAUCUGCAUUUCUGACAAGCUCCCACAGGAUAUUGGUGCAGCUAGUCUGAGGACCAUAUUUUAUUUUUUAAGUUUUUUUUUUUUUUUUUUUUGAUGUGGACCAUUUAUAAAGUCUUUAUUGAACUUGUUACUCAUGUGUGCUACAUGUGUGUUACAACUUUUGUUUUAUGUUUUGGUUUUCUGGCCAUGAGAUAUGUGAGAGCUUCCAGACCAGGAAUUGAAUGCAUACCCAUUUCAUUGGAAGGCAAAAUCUUAACCACUGGACCACCAGGGAAGUCUCUGAGGACCUCAUUUUAAAUAAUUAGGGGCUAGACCAAUUUACUGGCCUUUCAAAUACUUGCCCCUCAAUACUAUUUCAAAGAAGUUUCAUUUAAGAAUUCUUACUCAACUCAACAAGAGCUCUCCUGAAGACAAGCACUGCAUAUUCUAGCUCCCUGGUAGAUCUCUUAGCACCUAGCAUGGCGCCAUCAGCAGAACAAAAAAGAUGAAGUAACUAAGUUUCAGAAGCAAACCUUUCCAGAGGCAAUGCAGCACAGAUACAAGGAAGAAGACCUAGGUUCAAGGACAAUUUGUGAUAUCGGCAGAAAAGCGUCGGGGUCUUUUCCAGUGAGUUGGCUCUUUGCACCAGGUGGCCAAAGUAUUAGACAUUCAGC